UGGGGAAUAUUGCGCAAUGGGCGAAAGCCUGACGCAGCGACGCCGCGUGAGGGAUGACGGCCUUCGGGUUGUAAACCUCUUUCAGCAGGGACGAAGCGCAAGUGACGGUACCUGCAGAAGAAGCACCGGCUAACUACGUGCCAGCAGCCGCGGUAAUACGUAGGGUGCGAGCGUUGUCCGGAAUUAUUGGGCGUAAAGAGCUCGUAGGCGGUUUGUCGCGUCGACUGUGAAAACCUCAGCUUAACUGUGGGCUUGCAGUCGAUACGGGCAGACUUGAGUUCGGUAGGGGAGACUGGAAUUCCUGGUGUAGCGGUGAAAUGCGCAGAUAUCAGGAGGAACACCGGUGGCGAAGGCGGGUCUCUGGGCCGAUACUGACGCUGAGGAGCGAAAGCGU
This 394-nucleotide ribosomal RNA is filed under the name uncultured bacterium. Its description in RNAcentral is "bacterial SSU rRNA". It matches the Rfam family "Bacterial small subunit ribosomal RNA", at positions 355 to 762 of the family's 1533-position model. The record is from RNAcentral.